GCCAGGUGUGGUGGCGCGUGCCUGUAAUCCCAGCUACUCAGGAGGCUGAGGCAGGAGAAUUGCUUGAACUCAGGAGGCAGAGGUUGCAGUGAGCUAAGAUCACACCACUGCACUCCAGCCUGGGUGACAGAGCAAGACUCUGUCUCAA
This 148-nucleotide non-coding RNA is filed under the name Gorilla gorilla gorilla (western lowland gorilla). The record is from Rfam by way of RNAcentral. Lineage: Eukaryota; Metazoa; Chordata; Mammalia; Primates; Hominidae.